AUACGGAGGGUGCAAGCGUUACUCGGAAUCACUGGGCGUAAAGGAUGCGUAGGCCGGAUGUCAAGUUGGAAGUGAAAUCCUAUGGCUUAACCAUAGAACUGCUUCCAAAACUGGCAACCUAGAGUGAGGGAGAGGCAGAUGGAAUUAGUGGUGUAGGGGUAAAAUCCGUAGAUAUCACUAGGAAUACCGAUUGCGAAGGCGAUCUGCUAGAACUCUACUGACGCUAAGGCAUGAAAGCGUGGGGAGCAAACAGGAUUAGAAACCCCGGUAGUCC
RNAcentral lists this ribosomal RNA (274 nucleotides) under uncultured bacterium. RNAcentral's name for it is "partial 16S ribosomal RNA". It matches the Rfam family "Bacterial small subunit ribosomal RNA", at positions 523 to 796 of the family's 1533-position model. The record is from RNAcentral.